RNAcentral lists this ribosomal RNA (552 nucleotides) under uncultured bacterium. RNAcentral's name for it is "bacterial SSU rRNA". It matches the Rfam family "Bacterial small subunit ribosomal RNA", at positions 415 to 982 of the family's 1533-position model. The record is from RNAcentral.
CCUUCGGGUUGUAAACCGCUUUCAGCAGGGACGAAACUGACUGUACCUGCAGAAGAAGCCCCGGCUAACUACGUGCCAGCAGCCGCGGUAAUACGUAGGGGGCAAGCGUUAUCCGGAUUUAUUGGGCGUAAAGAGCGCGUAGGCGGUUUGUUAAGUCAGAUGUGAAAACUGGGGGCUCAACCCGCAGCCUGCAUCUGAAACUGGCAGACUUGAGUCUGGUAGAGGAAAGUGGAAUUCCCAGUGUAGCGGUGAAAUGCGCAGAUAUUGGGAGGAACACCAGUGGCGAAGGCGGCUUUCUGGGCCACGACUGACGCUGAGGCGCGAAAGCUAGGGGAGCAAACAGGAUUAGAUACCCUGGUAGUCCUAGCCGUAAACGAUGGGCACUAGGUGUGGGGGGUUAUCAACUCCCUCCGUGCCGCAGCUAACGCAUUAAGUGCCCCGCCUGGGGAGUACGGCCGCAAGGCUAAAACUCAAAGGAAUUGACGGGGGCCCGCACAAGCAGCGGAGCAUGUGGCUUAAUUCGACGCAACGCGAAGAACCUUACCAAGACUU